Molecule: long non-coding RNA, 233 nt
Filed under: Fukomys damarensis (Damara mole-rat)
Lineage: Eukaryota; Metazoa; Chordata; Mammalia; Rodentia; Bathyergidae
Description: lncRNA (ENSFDAG00000025190.1)
Source: RNAcentral
CUGUUUAUUUGGUUUCUCAUUAACCAGAGGAAGUGCCUGAAUCAGAUGGGGCCUCUGCUGUUUGACUGCCUGCCCAGAGUGGGGGCUUGAGGCUGGGGUCUCUAACAAGAGCUGCUUCAGGCCAGAUGAGUGCCUCCAACUGAAGAGAGCUGGAUGCAGGCUGGAUGCUGUAUUCCUACUGAGAUGGUGCCAGCAAUAUGGAGAAACGAGGGGUCCUCCUUACUGGGAAGGAG